CCUACGGGUGGCAGCAGUGAGGAAUAUUGGUCAAUGGGCGGGAGCCUGAACCAGCCAAGCCGCGUGCGGGAAGCAGGUACAGCGUAUCGUCAACCUCUUUUGUCAGGGAACAAAGGCGGGGACUAGUCUCCGGAUGAGGGUACCUGAAGAAAAAGCAUCGGCUAACUCCGUGCAAGCCGCCGCGGUAAGACGGAGGAUGCGAGCGUUAUCCGGAUUUAUUGGGUUUAAAGGGUGCGCAGGCGGCCUGUUAAGUCAGCGGUAAAAGCCCGGGGCUCAACCCCGGCGAGCCGUUGAAACUGGCGGGCUGGAGUUGGAGAGAAGGACGCGGAAUGCACGGUGUAGCGGUGAAAUGCUGAGAUAUC
This 362-nucleotide ribosomal RNA is filed under the name uncultured bacterium. RNAcentral describes it as "partial 16S ribosomal RNA". It matches the Rfam family "Bacterial small subunit ribosomal RNA", at positions 338 to 698 of the family's 1533-position model. The record is from RNAcentral.